UAUGCCACAGAUUAAACACUCAGUUAACACUUUCUGCAUAGAUAGGACUAACUAAAAUAUUGAUGUUUAUAUUUUCGAAUAACUUUGUAACGUUGGGACGUCUG
Long non-coding RNA from Melitaea cinxia (Glanville fritillary), 104 nucleotides. RefSeq lists it as uncharacterized. The record is from RefSeq and is a predicted model, not a curated record. NCBI's taxonomy places the organism in Eukaryota, Metazoa, Arthropoda, Insecta, Lepidoptera, Nymphalidae. The transcript has 3 exons.